Molecule: ribosomal RNA, 496 nt
Filed under: uncultured bacterium
Lineage: Bacteria
Description: partial 16S ribosomal RNA
Rfam family: Bacterial small subunit ribosomal RNA
Source: RNAcentral
AUGAACGCUGGCGGCGUGCCUAAUACCUGCAAGUCGCGCGAACAGACGAGGAGCUUGCUCCUCUGACGUUAGCGGCGGACGGGUGAGUAACACGUGGAUAACCUACCUAUAAGACUGGGAUAACUUCGGGAAACCGGAGCUAAUACCGGAUAAUAUAUUGAACCGCAUGGUUCAAUAGUGAAAGACGGUUUUGCUGUCACUUAUAGAUGGAUCCGCGCCGCAUUAGCUAGUUGGUAAGGUAACGGCUUACCAAGGCAACGAUGCGUAGCCGACCUGAGAGGGUGAUCGGCCACACUGGAACUGAGACACGGUCCAGACUCCUACGGGAGGCAGCAGUAGGGAAUCUUCCGCAAUGGGCGAAAGCCUGACGGAGCAACGCCGCGUGAGUGAUGAAGGUCUUCGGAUCGUAAAACUCUGUUAUUAGGGAAGAACAAAUGUGUAAGUAACUAUGCACGUCCUGACGGUACCUAAUCAGAAAGCCACGGCUAACUACGUG